RNAcentral lists this ribosomal RNA (673 nucleotides) under uncultured fungus. Its description in RNAcentral is "eukaryotic LSU rRNA". The stretch from base 189 to 342 matches the Rfam family "5.8S ribosomal RNA". Lineage: Eukaryota; Fungi. The record is from RNAcentral.
GCGGAAGGAUCAUUACAGUAGUCACCCAGGUUGCCGCAAGGCCUCCUGGGUAACCUACCACCCUUUGUUUAUUACACUUUGUUGCUUUGGCAAGCCUGCCCUCGGGCUGCUGGCUCCGGCCGGCGAGCGCUUGCCAGAGGACCUAAACUCUGUUUGUCUAUACUGUCUGAGUACUAUAUAAUAGUUAAAACUUUCAACAACGGAUCUCUUGGUUCUGGCAUCGAUGAAGAACGCAGCGAAAUGCGAUAAGUAAUGUGAAUUGCAGAAUUCAGUGAAUCAUCGAAUCUUUGAACGCACAUUGCGCCCCCUGGUAUUCCGGGGGGCAUGCCUGUCCGAGCGUCAUUACAACCCUCAAGCUCAGCUUGGUAUUGGGCCCCGCCGACCCGGCGGGCCCUAAAGUCAGUGGCGGUGCCGUCCGGCUCCGAGCGUAGUAAUUCUUCUCGCUCUGGAGGUCCGGUCGUGUGCUCGCCAGCAACCCCCAAUUUUUUUUCAGGUUGACCUCGGAUCAGGUAGGGAUACCCGCUGAACUUAAGCAUAUCAAUAAGCGGAGGAAAAGAAACCAACAGGGAUUACCUCAGUAACGGCGAGUGAAGCGGUAACAGCUCAAAUUUGAAAUCUGGGCUCACGGUCCGAGUUGUAAUUUGUAGAGGAUGCUUCGAGCAUGGUCUGGGCC